This 494-nucleotide ribosomal RNA is filed under the name uncultured bacterium. RNAcentral's name for it is "partial 16S ribosomal RNA". It matches the Rfam family "Bacterial small subunit ribosomal RNA", at positions 28 to 507 of the family's 1533-position model. The record is from RNAcentral.
GACGAACGCUGGCGGCGUGCUUAACACAUGCAAGUCGAACGGUGAAGCGCCUUCCUUUUUGGUGGGUGUGGAUGAGUGGCGAACGGGUGAGUAACACGUGAGUAACCUGCCCCCUUCUUCUGGAUAACCGCAUGAAAGUGUGGCUAAUACGGGAUAUUCUGGGUCUGUCGCAUGAUGGGUCUGGGAAAGAUAUUGUUUCGGUGGGGGAUGGGCUCGCGGCCUAUCAGCUUGUUGGUGGGGUGAUGGCCUACCAAGGCGGUGACGGGUAGCCGGCCUGAGAGGGUGGACGGCCACACUGGGACUGCGACACGGCCCAGACUCCUACAGGAGGCAGCAGUGUGGAAUAGUGCACAAUGGGCGCAAGCCUGAUGCAGCGACGCCGCGUGAGUGAUGGAGGCCUUCGGGUUGUGAACCUCUUUCGCCAGUGAAGCAGGCCUGCCUCGUUUGUGGGUGGGUUGACGGUAGCUGGAUAAGAAGCGCCGGCUAACUACGUG